Non-coding RNA from Camellia sinensis, 738 nucleotides. The record is from RefSeq and is a predicted model, not a curated record. Lineage: Eukaryota; Viridiplantae; Streptophyta; Magnoliopsida; Ericales; Theaceae.
UCUCUCUCUGUCUCUCUCUAUCGAUCUCAGUCUCUCUCUCUCUGUCGAUUUCUGUCAAUUUUGGUCUCUCUCUCUGUCGAUCUCUCUCUGUCGAUCCCUGUUUGUCUCGGUCUCUCUCUCUGUCUGUCUCUCUCUCCCUUCCUCUAUAUUAAGAAAAGGUUCUCUUUUACAUUCAGAUACGUGGUUGGAUUUGGACUUGGACUGGUUAUUCCAAGCCUUCCCAAACGCCUCUUCUCUCUCCGAAAUUGUAGAGAGAGAAACACCAAGCCCUCACAAACAUCUCUUUUCUCUCACAUUGCCAUUAUUUGAACAACACAAAUACAGUUUGAUUCGAUUUUAGGAGCUUUUCACAAUUUUCGCUCCUCUCUCUCUACUCGAAAGCAUCAACAGAUUUGGACUUGGGCUCAAGUAUAUAUGUAAUAAGGAAGGACUAAAGGCAAGUUCCAUUGUACUUAUUGCACUUGCAGAGUAUACCAAAUGUUUCUGAGUUUUAUGGCCUUGAUAUCCGUGUAUGCUUCUAUUUACAGAGUGUGAUAUACCCUCAUGCUUAAACACUCUUCAGUUUCUCCACAAGAACCUCAAUAUGUUGGAGAUUAGUUCUCGGAUGGUUGGCCGGAAGGACACCUCAAAAAGAGUUUUUGACACAUGGAUAGAGAUUUUUCAAAAGAGAAAAGUAAAACGAGAAAGGAAGUCAACUAGUGGCUGCAGUAGCAUCUCCAAUGAAUUUGACUUUCUGCA